Molecule: long non-coding RNA, 13826 nt
Filed under: Homo sapiens (human)
Lineage: Eukaryota; Metazoa; Chordata; Mammalia; Primates; Hominidae
Description: non-protein coding lnc-TMEM105-2:20
Source: RNAcentral
AAGGCGGCCCAAGGCCGCUUGAUGAAAGGAGAUAAGCUGGGGACCGUUUCCAGGAUCCCCGCGGGCCGACCGGGGCAGCCCGGGAGCCGAGGUGCGGCGGAGAGCCCGCGGAUCAAAGGAAUCUGGAGAGAAAGGGGAAGCGGGCGGCCGGCCCCGGCCGGCCUUCCCCCCCGCAGGCCACGCCGACCUGGGGUGGGGGGCUGCGGGCCGCGGGCGGGGACUCCGGGAUUUCCCGCCUGCCUGAGUCGGGGCCUACGCCGGCGCCCGCUUCGGGCGGCUCGGCCCGGAGGGGAGCUCCGGAGAGCCCGGGGCUCGCAGGUAAGCACCGGCGCUCCGCGGGCCGGGCCGGGGACGCAGGACAAGGCGCGGGGCCCACCCCGGCUGGCUCGGGAGUGGCGGUCGCGCGGGCCCGGCUCCCGUCUCCGGCGUCUCCCGGCUCCGGCGGCCGGGACCCCCCGCGGCCGAGCCCCUGGCCAGGCCCCAGGCCGGCGCCUUCGGAAGCGACGUCUGGCGGGCCGCGGGGCACGAGGGGGAGAGCCGGGAAGCGUAAAUCCCCGAAGCGCGCGGAGAUCCGAUUAGCGCGCGGCUAUUCAUUAGGCUGGGGGCGAUUGAAUUAGGUCCCUGGGCGCGGUCGCCGGCUGGGGGUGUGUGGCGCCGACCCCCGGGCUCUUGCCGUGGCCUCGGGAGGCUGGAGCAGCGAGCAGCGGCCCCAGCGAGUGUGUCGGGGAAGCGGGUGCCUCCGGGUCCCGGCCCCGCGGGUGCAGGCGGAGGCUGCCCGCUUCCCGCGUACACCGAGGACGGCCGGCCCGGCUCCGGAGAAAUGGCGCUUGAGAAAGGAGGGGAGGGGAAGGUUCCCGGACCCUGGGCAGGGACCCGUCGCCGGGGACCCGCGGAGCCCUCCGGGGAUGGAGGAGGCGCGAGCUGGAAGCGGCGCGCGAGCCCGAGCGCGGGGCUAACACCGUGGGGCCCAGUCUCUCCUGGCUCGGGUAAGUGGACGCGCCCCGAGGCCCCGGGUCCACGCAGGGCGCCCCUCGCAGACGGCGCAUUUCCUACUCUCCUAAGGAACCGAGUUCCCAUCACUGCCUCCGAUGAGCCUGUUUCCGGAUCAGGAACCUUUUUCAAGUUAAUUUUUAAAGCCUCAUUUGAAUUUUUUAAUAUAGGAAAAUACGUAUACGAGAAAAAUCUUGGAUGCAACAAAAAGAACACCGUGGCCACCCGUGGUGUCCCAGAAGUUGCUCUGAGCUCCUCGCAUCAGGGCAGGUGCUCCACCUCUAACCGCCCUGUGGGGGAACGGGAGGCCCCAAGCCCCUGGGAGUCCUGGUCUCCUCUAGAGUGUGUUGGAAGGACAGCCGCUGGAAAGGCCCCUCAGAGCCCCUAAACCAGCCUCCCCUCCCCCGUGGGCAGAUUGUUCGAGGGUCCUGGAGCCUGAAUGAUGGGCCCUCGGCUUGCCCACCCCCAUCCCCAGUCAUCAAUCACCAUUUGAGAAAUGCCCACUGCCAGGGACAUGGGAGGGCAGAGGGUAGCUCGCGGGUGCGUGGCCCCUAUCUCCUCAAGCUGGUUUAGACCCUUCUGGCUCAGCCUCACCAGAUUCCUAGGAUGAGCACUGGCUUCAAAUCCCCCAAGUGCUGGUCCCUUCGUGUCCCCGAAAGAGGCUGCUCGCGUGGGCAAAGGCCCCGAGGCGUCGAGUGCGCCUUCCAGGGCAGUGCGGAAGCUCCCUGCCCUCCUCCUUCCUCCCCACUUCUGCCUCCUCCUCCCCCAGUGUUCACUUGAAGCAAAUUCUAGUGGGCUUUUUUUUUUUCAAUACUGUUUCAAAACAGUUGUUACAGCAAAUAACUGCAGACGGGUCUGCUGGACGCGGUGGAGAGGGGCUGGCAGCUGCCCAGCACAGGCGCCUGGCCGCUGGGCAGCUCCCGCAAUACCAAAAUAAGCUCCCGAGUUCCCCUGGAAGACUUGGGCCGCCGGGAGCUCAGGCUGGCGAUCUGCUCAGAGGAAACCUCCCUACUUUCCUUUUUUACUCUUCCUGCUGUCCAGAGCUAACAAAUGUUUUUAAUUUCAGAGGAACAUGGUGUGGGGAUCUGCAGACUUGCCUUCCACUGGGGAGAGGGCCAGCGAGGGGACAGAGGGGGAGGAAAGGAGAGGGGAUAAUAGACCCGAGGUCAGUGUUGAUGCUGGAGGGCCCAGGUCUCUGAAGUUCCUGCAGCUUUGCAGGUGAGCGGGCUGCAAGUGAGGCUAGGCCUGUGGACACCCAGUGGGGCCUGGAACAGUGCCAGGAGUGGCCUUGAACCCCACCUUGAUCCCUCUCCAGCAGGAUCUGGAGUCACUUCCAUGGGCCUGGCAUACACCACUCCAGAUUUGCCCUCUGGCCUGGGGAGCAGAUAACCCCCCGCCCCACAUAACCAGCUGCGCUCCUACACCUAGCAGGCCGGCUCACAUCACCCUUUAACGCACACUAUAUUCACACACACACUUGUGCACAGUCUUGAAUGUGUGCCCACACAUCUGCCUGCACACACUCAUGUGCCCACAUGUGAAUCACUUGGAAGUGUACACAAAACCAAACCCACAGCACAGAUGGGCAGACAGGUGAGCCUCGUGCAGCAUGUGACACUCCCACAUGCACAAGACAUGUGUGCAGAGGCAUAUCACACACGCAGAAGCACUCCCGAGAACUGCCUUCUCCCUUUCAGCCUAGGGGCCCCUGUUCCCCCACAACCGGGCCCAGCCCUGGAGCCCCCUCCAGCACUCCUCUCCCACCCCCACGCUCCCCAAGAGCAGCAGAUGUAGGUCUCCCGGCUCCCAAACCUCUGAGAUGCUGCUCUGUCUGAAAUCAUCAUAUAAAUAAUCAUUUUUUAAUACAAGGGGGUGGGGGUGUCAGGCAAGUUCCAUGAAAUUGUGAAUUAGCCGCUGCUCCAAAUAAAUGCCUGCUUCGGCCCGAGAGCAGCCGCGCUGCGCCCGCUGCGCCCCCAAUAAUCGUGUGUUGGGUAUCUCUCCAUUGUUCCCUGGGCCAUUAGUCAAAGGGCAAAUUAGAAACAAUUUCUUGACGACAAAAAUUGACUCUUAAUUCUUCCCACCAGAGGCGCAGGGGGACAAGUCCAGAGGCCAGGCCUGAGGCUGGGGCUGGCGGCAGGAGGGGUAGGCGGGGUAGAGGUGGGGUAGAGGUGGGGGAUCUAAGAUGGUUCACAGCACAGAGACCUCCCUCAACUGGAGGGCAGCAGCAGCUCACCCCCACCCCAGAAUCAGUGUUCCAGAGGACAGCUGGGGGCAGGGGGUUAGGAACAAUCCCACUCCCUCCUGGAAGAGGUCCUGACCCCCCACCCCACCCAUCUGCCUGUACGGGUCCCUCUGCUAUCGACUGGGGCGAGUUCUUUUCAUGAGGGCCUUGCCUGGUGCCUGGAGGGAACAGGGUGUGGGGGAAAGGUCUGUGUGUUCCCCCCUCACCUCCCCUGCUCAGCGGUGUGGCCUCUGGCUCUGGGGAGGAUCGGGAAGCCCCAGGGUCCGUGCCUUGGAGUGGGGGGACAGCCUUUUCUCUGCCACAGCUUCUGCCUUUGGAGGCUUACCCUUCCUAGGAGCAGAACUGUUGUGGAGGGGAAGAGGACGGCGAAGGUUCCGAAGGGAAGGGGGCUGCCCCCACUGAAAACGAAGCUUCCAGUCACAGCCCCUUCAUUAUUUAUCAGGACCCAGGGGAUGAGGUGGCAGGGGAGGGGGCUGCAUGGAGGGAGUGCCCUCACCCUCGUCCCCAGCGCCUGCCCCCUCCCGACCAGGCCUGGGCUGAGGCCCAGGGUAAGGGGGCUGAGGCAGGCCACAGAGGAGCAAGACUUGUCAGGGGCCAGACCUGGGUAGGAGGAUUGUCCUCCAGGCACACACGGCCCCCAGCCCCCCAGCCUGUCGAACUGGGCUCUCCCAGAAGGUCCCCGGCUCCAGCCCAAGCAGGGAGCCAGGUUGGGGGUGUGGGAAGGCAGAAGUCCCAGGGAUCCUGGGGGAGGCUCAGGUUGUACCUGAAGGCCACAGUCUCCUCGACAGACCUCGGACGAGGUUGUAAGUGUUUUAAAGAAACUAGAGCAGCAGAGAAGAGAGACUCAGAAGCCCGUGGCACGGCUUUCUCGGCGUCCCCUCCAGCGAGGGGGUCUCCAUUGCUGCAGUUGCCGGUUUUGUCCAACCAGGUCAGGAGGCUGCCCGGCCCCCUCCCCACUCUCAAAGUUGCUUGUUAAACACAGAGUCGUAAUUUGUGGCUAAAUAUAACUAGUGUGUUCUCACGGAAAGUAUAAUUCAGGGUGCUCAUUGUAUGAGGUUAUCAACAAGACCCAUCUGGGUUAAAUUAAAGUGAUUUUCAUAAAGGGCAGAAGCGCCCCUUUGCCUGGUUUCCCCUGCCUUUUUAUUAGUGACAGUGUUAUUGUUGCAAUUAUUAGAGGGGAUCAAGGAAGGUGGGAGUUGCCAGGGACCCCCAGGCUGAGGAGGGAGCCUCCCAGCCCCCCUCCACUCACCAUUGUCCUGCUGCCCCUCCAGCCCCCUGGUCACUGUCACCUCUGCGGCUGGAGGGCUGGAGAAAGGCCCAGGAGCCCAGGGAACCUCCACCAUGCCAGGCUGCCUUCCCUAAAGGCCGGCUCCUUCCCCCCAGGCAGCCAGUCUGGGGGUGGACCUGGAGGGGCAGGGUUCUCUGGGAAUCUCUGGGCCAAGGGAUGCGCUUUGGGGAUCUGCUGGAAUAAAGAGUAAUCGGUUUUCCUUACAGGAGGUUGACCCGAAACAGCCCUCCGUCUUCCUGCCCAUGAGGAUGAGGACAGGAAGCCAGACCCGGGAGAGAAAGCCCAGAUCAGACAGAUGGGGGUUGGGAGGGCCUAGUGGCUGAAACUGCCCUGCUUGGGGACAAUGCUCAGGCAGGACCAAUCCAAACGAGGGCACUGCUUAUGUGGUCCUUCCGGAGCAUCCUCCAAGGCAGAGCCUGGCUUCGGGCCCUCCCUGCAAGGACACCUGCCUCCACUCCCUGCCAGACCAGGCCUGGCUGCAGAGGCGGAGGGGCGGCAGGGCUGCCUGUCUCCACUGUUUGGCGGUGUUUACACGUGUCGCUGUCAGGGUGUCUGGACAGUGGGGGUCGGGGGCCUCCCGGGCCCAGACUUCCCCAGGCCUAUUCUCACACUGGUGAGAGGGCCCUAGGGGAAGGGUGUGGGCUGGGUGGCGGGGCCAGGCCAGCUGAGACCUACAGGACCGUGGAGCAUUUAGGUCUCCCACCCAACUCCACCCGGUCCUCUGAGCAUCAGUUACAGAGCCCAGGCAGCAGGAGGGCAGGGCCCAGCCCCUUAUCACCCAUCCUCAAGGCAGGCAGGAACCCUGAAGGCAGCUUCCACCAGGGGUUCCCUUAGCCCCCACCCUCCAAAAGCCCCAGACCCUGCCAGGCCUCACCCUGCCAGCAUCGUGGCCCCAGCUGACGGCUCCCAAGGGCAGGUGCUGGCAACACAAGCAGGAGCCCUCGGGGCAUCCCGCAGGGCACACACCAGGUCGCCCUGGGCUCCCCAAGCACCUCCCAGACCCAGCCCUUGGGUGGGUCCUGGCCCACAAACCCCCACGCCCUGCCCCUGAGAUGAGCCCCACCGCCCACCUGCCCUCCAGCCCUGGAGACCUUUCUCCCCCUUGGCCAUGGCUCCCAUGGGGAGGCUGCAGGCCCUCCCUGGGCUGGACCAGAGGGGACAGACUGUCUCUCCCCUGCGACUUCUGGGGGCACUGGAGUCCUUGGCCUGGUUACCUUCAGCAUUUAUAGCCCUCCAGUGAGUUAUUCCUCGGAGUUCUCACAGAGCAGCAUGCGCCUGCGGCAAAGCCCUCACCUCCAGCCCCUGGACCACCUGACUGCUGCCUCCCGCCUGGCGCCAAACACGGCCACCGCCUCUUUUGUUAACAGGACAGUUGAUCCAUUAAAUUAAAAAUCAUUCAAUAGAUUCAUUUUUUUUUUCUGGCCUGAACAAAUACGUAUUCCAUCUCAAUUCAUGAAGCAUCAGUACCCGCUGCAGGGGUAAUUCCCCAGGCGGGAGAGGAGUUUCGGGGAAAGUGCCCCCAAAGGGAGACUCCCCAGAAAUCCCUUUCCAAGCAGCCAAGGCAGGCAGGCCAGAGGAGCCUGCCCCGGGCCAGGGCCCAGACCCACGCAGCCGCCCGCUCUCCCGGCCACUUCCGCCGGGGCCUUUCCGAGCGAAGUCCAUUAGGGCCGGGUCUCUGCGCCUCCCCUACCCGGGGUCCGGGCAAUACGCAGCCCCGACCACCGUCCUCGGCCCGGGGGAAGCGCAGACACACACUGGAGGCAUUUUCUUCCCUCCGGAAUUGAUUGGUUUUUGUUUUUGUUUUAAUAGCAGGACUUUUCCAAGCAAAAAGUCUCCUGAGGCGGGUGGUAAAAAAAUCAAAGCCUCUACAUCCAAGCCCGGAACAAAAGCCCUUUGGAAAUCCCGCGGCGGGGCCGGGCGCGGGCGGAUGCGGCGGGAGGGGCGGCCGAGCGCGCCCGGGACCCGCGUCGGGAGAAGCCGCGCAGCGCCUACCGCGGAGGUCGAGUCUCGGCGGCCCCACCUGCUCCGGAGUCGGCCCUGUCCCUCCGUCUGGGGAGGCGGCCGGAGGCGCCAUCACCGCAAAUUUAUGGCCCGGGUGACGCGCUUCCUACUCCCACAGUGGGGCCCGGUGACAUUAAACAGAAAAUUGACGAGAGCGGAGCGAAACCGAAUCCGUUUCCCUCCAGGCCCGUCCCCCUCGCUUUUCGGGGAGGGGACCAGGGACGGGAGGAAGGGCGUCCCUGAGUUUGUGCGCUCGGGAGCCCGUGCUGGAGGCUUCUCCCAGAUUCCAGAGCCCAGGCAGCGUGCUGGGGGCGCGCGACCCCGCCCGGACCGCACCCCUUCGCCGGCCGCAUUUCGGGCGGAACCUCGGCUCGCGUUCCACGCGCUCGGGGCGACCAGGCAGAGUGGGGCCCCGCACCCGGGUCGCUCCCGCUCGGAGGGCCCAGGCCGGAUGAGGCUCCGACGCGCCCUCGGCCCUCCCUCCGCGCCCCAGCUCCGGGGAGCGCCCCGCUGCCUCCAGCACAGCGGGGGAGGGAGGACCCCGGCUGCCCAGCCCCCACCCUCGCCGCCGCGCCCCGCCCCCGGCCGGCGCAAGUGGGAGAAGAGAGCGAGUGACGAGCGGGGCGCGCCUGGGUGGCUGCCGGGGGUCGCUCCUCUGGCCUCGAGCGCCCCCUCCCUCCGCCCCCCGGCGCCUCCUGGCACCGAACCCGCCGCGCCGCCGCGUCCUUAAAAGCGCCGCCUGCUUUGCUGGCCUUUGGGCGCGCGGCAGGGAAGGUCACGCCGGGGUGGGGUCGGUGGCGCGGGGACAGCGACACUGCCGGGCGCCGGCAUACCCCCUACCCCCGCCUCCGCCCCUCCGGGCACUUGCCGCCGCCCUGCAGGCCUGGGUCUUGCCGCACUUGUUCUGUCGUGCUGGGGCACACGGAGCCAAGACCAGAGCCGGCGCAUGUGCUUGUCAGAGAGGAAUCCAGGGAGCCCUGUGGGGGCUGCUUGGGGAAAUGAGGCUGUCAUCCCCGCGCCCCAGGUGCUCAACGGGGAGGAUAAAGGAGCCCUGGCCUGCGGGAGGCAGCCCCAGGGGACGGACGGAGCCCUGGUUCAGAGCCCAGAGAGGGCAUUGGAGGGCCAGGCCUCAGCCAACUCCAUUUCUCCCCUCUCUGGCCUGCGUGGGCAUCGGGGGCAUGGUGGGUACCAGAUCCUACCCUGCCUGCUCAACCCUCUAGACAGCCUGGGACACAGAGGGCAUGGUGGCCAUGCCCAUUUUACAGAUGAGCAGAAGGAGACUGUGAGAGCAAAUAACGUGCCCUUGUUCACACUGAGGGCCUGGGUGCGUAGGCUCUGGAUUCUUCUGGAAAACUAGUACUAGGGUUGGCUGACUUUUGGGCCUGGGACAACCCUAAGACUCCUGGCUGGGGCAGACAUGAUGCGUCCCGACUUCUGCCUUGUAGACCAGGAGCAGAACAAAAUGGGCCUCAUGACCAGCCAUUGGGCGUCUUGGCCACAGCACCCACGGAAAGAUGUGUCAGGGUCCAGCUCUUCCUGGGAAGCCCCUCCGAAUGCUCCCGGCCAGCCUGUUUCUCUGGGAUGAGGCCCCAGCAAGGCAGAUCGCAGCCUGCAGCCGGGAGGAACUGCUAAUAUAUGGCAAGAGUCUGGAAACCAGAUUCCAAAAGGUCACGUUGGACUGGAACCAACAAGAUUACGUUGAACAGGCUGGAUGUGAACCUCCACUUUCAGGUUCAAAAAUCAGUUGUAAAAAUGCAGGCAGCUUCCCACUGAAGACUUGCUGGGCCAAGCUGCAGCUGUCUGCACCACUCAGGCAGUUCAUCCACGCCCUGUCUCCCCAGCACAGGCCCUCUUGUGCAUUUCCCUGAGCCCCAGCAGCUGAGCCUGCGCCCUGGGGUGGGAGUGGGGGAUCCCGGGAUGUCUGACCCGCUGUCUCUGAUGUCAGGCCGGCUGGGGGAGGGGAUGCAGCUGGAGACAGCAGAGAAUGGGGUCCUUGUGCCACUGUCAUCAGGCCCGGAGCUUCCAUGAACACGGCUUUGUCUGCACCCAUACCCCGUGGUGACCACGGGACCAGGGGAUCAGUGGGCCUCUGAACAAGAGGGGCGUGCAGAGCGGCUUUUUGGCCUCAGUUAACUCUUAAAUGGGUGUCAGAGGCACUGUCUUCCCCUAGCUAUGCGCCUCGUGCCUGGGAGCCUUAGGGCCACACGGAAGGGUAGAAAUCAGUUUCAGGUCAGGAGGUCUGGAACAGCUUUGUUAAACCCAGUUUUUUUCCUAUGAAAAUGGCUGCAGACACUGGGGGAGGGAGAGGGUGGCCCUGAUCCCGAUGACUCUGAAACAUGCUUGGCCUUCCCCAGAGAUUCCUGCUCCCAGCCCAGGCCCAGACGGCAACAGAAGCUCAUGGUGAGUUCACCCCGGUCCUGGUCUGGCACCUCAUUGCUGGGGAGGUCUCGGCAGUCCAGAGGAGGUAGCCCCCACCCUGGGCAUCCAUCCGCCCAGGCCCCAGCCUCCGCGGGAAGACCCAAUUACAGAAGAGAGAAGUAUGUGGAGACCCUUGGCUGAGGUUGGGGGUCCUGGAAGCUGGAGGUAGUGUUCCUGGGUAUAGCAUGAUGGGUUGAUGGGUGGGUUUUAUUCUCUUUUUAAGGAUUUUUUAUAUUUUUCAAAUUUCCCUUUUGAAAUGUAUUCAUUUUGCAAUCAGAAAACAAAACAGGCCAGGCGUGGUGGUUCACACCUGUAAUCCCAGCACUUUGGGAGGCUGAGGCGGGUGGAUCACCUGAGGCCAGGAGUCCAAGACCAGCCUGGCCAACUUGGUGAAACCCCGUCUCUACUAAGAAUACAAAAAUUAGCCAGGCGUGGUGGUGGGCACCUGUAGCCCCAGCUACUUGGGAGGCUGAGGCACGAGAAUCGCUCGAACCCAGGAGGCGGAGCUUGCAGUGAGCUGAGAUCGCGCCACUGCACUCCAGCCUGGGCAACAGAGAGAGACUCUGUCUCAAAAAAAAGAAAACAAAACAAACCAGUGAACACUACUCCAAACAAAUGUCCAGGCCCAGAGAUCAGAGGCUGCAAGGUGGGCUCUGUCCCCAUGUCCCCAGCCACACUGCUGGGGAACCCACAGGGUGCCAGGUCCCCUCAGCCCUGUCCCUGCCCCACAGGCCCCUGGAGUGAUUGUAGGCUCUAGACUGCCUCAGUUUGCCCCCAGCCUCCCCUAGGUGCCCGGGGAGCCACUGGCCAGCCUCCGGUCGCACUCCACUCAGGGCUUGACGGGGAAACAGAAACCAGCCUUGAACGCCUUCCCACGCCCCAAAACGCCAGGGUGCACAGUGAGGGGAGCCCUGGUCAGAUGGCACAGAUGGCAUUCCUGCCCGCGAGAGGCCCAGGACCCCGGGGAGCCAGAGGGGCAGGGUGCCCGCAGCGUCCAGGCAAAUGGGCCCAGGCCCCCCGACACCCAGCUGAGGCCAGCUUCCCCCAGAGCGGUUUGGAGCCCUGCCCUGGAGAGGGGGCAGCUCGCCCAGCGUGGGGGUGAUGCCACCAGGUGGUGAGGCUGCUGGGCAGGGCUGGACCCCCUUUUAGACUCCCCUUCCGAUUUCUGUGUCCCUGAGUCUUGCCCAUGCUACAGCCUAACCCUGCCGUGGCCAAGGGACAGCGGGGCAACAGUGCCCUCCCCGAGCUUGCCCUGGGACAGCCGCCUCACUCGGAGGAAGCUGGGUUUUGCCGAAUUUUCUGCAUGAUGGGGCUCCGUGGGCUGGGGGCCACUUGCCUCCCUGCACCCGUCCCAGGACCCCAGGCUGCAAGCUGGAAACCCCAUGGGGGCGAGUGGAGCCCUGGGACUCCACAGGAGAGGGUCCUCUGUGACAAGAGGCUCCAGGGGACACAGGCUUGCGAACAUGGGGGCUGGGGUGGGGUCAAGGUAUGAACAGCGCAGGCCUAGAAGCCUCAGACUCUGAGGGGCAGGAAAGAGUCCCCAAAACGGAAUCAGAGGAGGAGCCCGGGGUGGGGGGAGGAGGAAAGGGGCGCAGUGGGCGCUGCCAUCCCUCCUUGGGGCACAUUUCUUCCCGCCCUGACCAAGAGGAAGGGACCCUCCUUCCUCCAGAAAGGACUUCUCCGAGCCCAGGACACACGAGGAAAGCGAGGCUCAGUCACCAGGAAGCCCUCACUCUCCGUCAAGGCCACCAAACGGGAAGAAGGGGAGCCAGGAUUUGAUCCCAGGCUUCCCUCCCAGCCUGCACGCUGCUGCACUACCCAACCCUGAGGACCCCAAGAACCUCUGAGAAUGUGGGAUUUUGGUUCUGAGCCUCCACGGGGCCCGUUGGUGGCCUCUGGUUCAGGACAACCAGAAUUGGCCCAGACAGCCAAGCAGCCAAGGGGCAGGCUUUGUAGAGUGUGGGGGUCUGUCCUCCCUCAUGGCCAGAAGCAGAUCCCACCCCUCAAAUGCAGGUGGGGUGGGGCAGGGGCUCCGGCUCCGUCAUCUGGGCUCCAGUGAGGCUGCCCGCUCCUGCUCACCUGCACAGGAGGCUGAGGGUGGGGCCCUGGGGGAGGGGCUGCCCCAGGCUGUAGUGCCUGGGAGAGCUGGGGGUGGGGAGGGGACAGGCAGGGGGCAGGCAGAUGGCCUUCCUGCUUGGCCCUCGCUGCCAGGUCUUGCUGCCUCCUCCUGUUGGGUGAUUUAGAUCAUUAUAGACCUGAGGUCCCACCAGGUGCAUUGGCUCAUGCCUGUAAUCCCAGCACUUUGGGAGGCUAAGGCGGGUGUAUGACCUGAGGUCAGGAGUUCGAGGCCAGCCUGGCCAACGUGGUGAAACCCCAUCUCUACUAAAAAUACAAAAAUUAGCUGGAUGUGGUGCCGCACACCUGUAAUCCCAGCUACUCAGGAGGCUGAGGCAGGAGAAUCGCUUGAACCUGGGAGGCGGAGGUUGCAGUGAGCUGAGAUCACGCCACACCCCACAGCCUGCAGCCUGGGCGACAGAGCGAGUCUGUCUCAAAAAAAAUAAAAAUAAAUAAAUAAAUAAAACUGAGGUGCAAAGUUUAAAGGUUUGGGUGACACAUCAGAGGCAGACUUGGGGAAGAAGUGUCUGUCCCACCCUCCCAGACCACAUCCUCUAAGGGCUUGGGCCCCGGGGAUGCUGGGUGGCCCCUUGGAACUGUGAGGAGCUGACACAUGGGUGGGGACCAGAGGAGGGGACGUGGAGAGCCCUGGUGAGGAUGUGGGCGCUGGUGGGGACUGCCUGGUGUGUGAUGGGGACAGGAACAGGCAUGGAGAUGGCCCACACCCGAGACAGUGGGCUCCUGGGGCCACCUCUUCUCCACACGGCGGCAGCAGGUCUAGUUCGGGCCUAACAGCCCAGCCAUCCCUGAGAGCCAGCGCCGAGGGUGCAGCAGCUGCCUCCUCUCCGGGCCCACCGGACGGUCGCCGUCCUGCCAGGAGCUCCCGUGCCCAUCGCCAGAGAGGGAAAUGCUCCUUGGUCUCAGGAGGCAGCGGGGCCCGGGACUCACAUGGACCUGGGCCCAAGUCGACCAGUUCCAGCUGGGCACACUGGGAAGGUCACCCACCUCCCGAGCCCUCCAUGUCCAGGCCAUUGUGGGAAAACCCUCUCCAACAGGGGAGUGAAGGGACAGGAUGGAGCGGGAGCGGCGCCAAAGCACGGGGAGAACCAGAGGCCGCAGGUGAGACCCCGCCGUGGGCCAUGUCCCGUCUCUUCCUCUGAGGGCAGGCGUUUCACCCGAUCACCCUCCCGGCUCUCUCGGCCACCCCUGCUUGGGCUUGCUCCUGUCUGGUGUUGGGUGACCUGCCUGCUGCUCUCAGACCCCACACCCGUUUGUGGCCUCAUGGCCAUGAGUGGCCCCGUCCCCGACUCCACUGCAGUGGGCACAGUGGUGGCCCCCAAAUGAUCGGUCCACCUGGAGCCUGUGAACACGACAGGCUUAUUUGGGAAAAGGGUCUUUGUCCAGAGACAAAGGCCCUUAGAAGACAGAGGUCGGGGGAGAUUUGAGAGGGAGGCGACAGAGGCCACGUGAAGAUGAGGCAGAGAUGGGAAUGACACGGCCACGUCCACGGGACACCUGGGGCCACCAAAUGCCAGAAGAGGCGGGAAGAACCUCCCCUGCAGCCUGCAGAGAGAGGACAGUCCUGCCGAUAGCUUGAUUUUGGUUCCGGCCACCAGGACUCGGAGAAAAUAGACUUCUGUUGUUUGCAGCUGCCCCAUUUGUGGUCUUUUGUUGGGUGGCCCCAGACAUAAUCCCAGCACUGGCCUGGCCCGGCCCAUGGGCAGCUGUCCCCAGCCUGGCGGAGGGUGUGGCUGUGAUGUUACCCCCAGGAUAUCCAGUACCGCAGUCUCCAUCUGAGCCGCCAUCGGGCUGUGGGGUGCCUGCUAGCCUGUGGCAGAAGGACCAGGACCUGGGGGCUGGCAGGGAGCAAGAGCUGAGCGAACCAGCUGGGAGGAAGGACUGAGGCCACACCGGUGUCCGGGGGGAUUCGGACGUCACCAGUGUGGAGUCUGGGGGUGUUCUGACUGACUUUAGACAGAAAUUUCUUUUUCUCUCUGGAAAGGGCGGCGGUGGGCCCGUGUGCAGGGGAGCGUGGACUUGGAACUCGGGGAGCCCUGGGUUCUGCCUCAUCCUCUACAUCCCUGUGGGGCCACGUCCACUCACCGAGGGGUUCUUGCCGCCUUGACUGAGGGUGGCCGGGCACCAGCACCUUUGCAGCUUUGCCCAGCACCUUGGCAUGGGGUCGGGGGCGGUGCAGAGUUCUGUUUUACAGGGAAGGGAACUGAGGCACAGGGAGAUGACAGCUCGCCGCUGGUGCUGACCAUGGGCUCACACUGCCUGGCCGCCCGUGCAGCCCCUGCCCUCCAUGACGAACGUGCUCAUGUUUCCUGGCUGCCCCCCGGCCCCACUCCCACCUCCCUGGCUAAACAAGGGAGAUCUUGAUGUGAGUUCUCCUUUUUCCUUUCUGGAAGGAAUGGCAGACUCUGGACAUGCUCCUAGAGAUGGGAGGUCAAAAUGAUCAACGUUCAGGGUCCCUUCAUCUCAGAGGGUCUCGAGUCACCUCAUUUAAAGGUGGGAACUGGGGAUCCUGGAACCUCCCCUGCACCCCAGAUGCUUCUGGGGCCCUUGAGAACUUGCCCUGAGCUGUCACCUGGCCUAGACUCCCAGCCACUUUCAGGGCACAGAGAAACUGCCCUCACUCUGAAAAUGUGGAGACCGGGACCCAGAGAGGUAGAGUGACUUGCCCAUGGCCACACAGCCUGUGAAGGAUGACCAGGUUUGGUCUCCGCCAGCUGUUCUGGCUCUGCUCCUGCAGUCAACAGCCACCACCCC